Molecule: non-coding RNA, 1401 nt
Organism: Delphinapterus leucas (beluga whale)
Lineage: Eukaryota; Metazoa; Chordata; Mammalia; Artiodactyla; Monodontidae
Source: RefSeq, a predicted model, not a curated record
CCCUUUUAAUCAAGAUCUUUCUCUGAAAGCAUCACCGAUCAAGAGUCAGGUAUUCUAGUUUCAAUGGCUUUUUGUCAUUCAGUGUCAGGAAGGACCUUUCCUUGGUGUAGUGUCUCAAAUCGAAGGGAAAGUACGAAGAUUAGAAACCUAUUAAGGUCACCUUUAAAUGACAAGAAGGGGUAGGAGGGAGAACUCUCAGGCCCUUUUUAUCUAAAGUUCAUAUUUUAUCAAGAUCCUAGACAUUGGAGAUCAUCUGAAGCAUUCUAUAAUCAAAAUUUUGGCAACAAGCUUCCAACAGGCCUGUUCUGGUUAUCCUGGGAAAGCUGUCUCAUCUGCUGUCAUCUGCUUCAGUUCUGGGAAAUCUUUACCUUCAGGUCACCAGAUGAUGGGCAGGUCCAAUUAGGGUUUGGCACUUUCUUUAGGUGUGUCACAUGAAUCCAAGAGUCUAUUCCUUGGAGUUCGGUGGCACAAGAGCUGGCUAGCAGUACCAGAUAGAGGCCUUUCCAUGAGGUUGAAGGAGAGUUCUUCUGGAGACGUCUUUUCAAAAUAGAUAAAAUCUCCAGGUUGCAAGGUGUGAUGCUUAAGGUCUUUUUCUCCCGAGGGCACACCGUGAAAAGAUUACCUUACCAAAACAUGGUUAUUUUUAAUAGAAACAAUUAGGGCCUUGGCGAUAUUGGAAUAGUUCUCCUUUAUCAGUUGUGGGGCAAAAGAAGCAGGAGCCAGGUUCACCGGGUGUCCUGUGACCAUCACAAAGGGUGAGAGUUUAUGAGCUCCAAGACAAGCAGAUCUGAGAUUUAGCGGGACCAAUAGCAAUGCUUUUGGUCAGGGUAGUUGGAGGGCCUCUACAGAUUUUUCCCAUUGAGUCUUCAUGAUGUUGUCAAACCAGAGGAUUGAGGGUGGUGAGCCCAAUGAAAGUGUUGUAAAAGUGACCAAACAGCACAUGUCUGUCCAAAUACCUGGCAAAUAAAAUGUGUUCCUUGAUCAUUAUGAAGUUUGAGAGGAGUUCCCCAGACAGGGAGAAUCUUUUCCAGGAGGACUUUAGCUACAGAAGAGGCAGUAGUCUGUCUGCAAAGGAAGGCUUCAGUUUGGUGUGAAAACAUACAGACCAUGACUGAAAUAUAUUUAUAUCCAUUAGAUGGAGAAGUUGCAUCAAAUCCAUUUGCCAGGCCUUGAACUGUCCAUCUGGCAGUUUAAAAUGUCUGGGAACGAUACAAACAGGCUUCCCUGGGUUGCACUUUGGACAAGCGGGACAAGUGAGGUUCUGUCUAGAGCUUCACCAGUUCCCAGCCUUGGCUGCACAUUGGAAGAACUCCCAACACCUGGACCCAUCUCCAGAGAUCCUGAUUUAAUUGCUCUGAGGGAGGCCUGGAAAGCACAGGCUCCGGACGCGCAGGCUCAGCG